This 498-nucleotide ribosomal RNA is filed under the name uncultured bacterium. RNAcentral describes it as "partial 16S ribosomal RNA". It matches the Rfam family "Bacterial small subunit ribosomal RNA", at positions 30 to 523 of the family's 1533-position model. The record is from RNAcentral.
AUUGAACGCUGGCGGCAUGCCUUACACAUGCAAGUCGAACGGUAACAGGUCUUCGGAUGCUGACGAGUGACGAACGGGUGAGUAAUACAUCGGAACGUGCCUAGUAGUGGGGGAUAACUACUCGAAAGAGUGGCUAAUACCGCAUGAGAUCUACGGAUGAAAGCAGGGGAUCGCAAGACCUUGUGCUACUAGAGCGGCCGAUGGCAGAUUAGGUAGUUGGUGGGAUAAAAGCUUACCAAGCCGACGAUCUGUAGCUGGUCUGAGAGGACGAUCAGACACACUGGGGCUGAGACACGGCACAGACUCCUACGGGAGGCAGCAGCGGGGAAUUUUGGACAAUGGGCGAAAGCCCGAUCCAGCAAUGCCGCGUGCAGGAUGAAGGCCUUCGGGUUGUAAACUGCUUUUGUACGGAACGAAAAGCCCCGGGUUAAUACCCUGGGGUCAUGACGGUACCGUAAGAAUAAGCACCGGCUAACUACGUGCCAGCAGCCGCCGCAG